GAAACUCAAGUCCUAACCCACGAGCUUAUCACUCGAGACAAAUCCUCCUCCUUGACCUCUAAAAGGUCGUUGAAACGUCAUACACAUCCUAUAGAACUACUAACCAAAUUCUCAUGUUCGGAUUACUCAAAAAAUGAAACGAACGAAACUUAACACCACGGGGAAACCCUAGCAUGCAAUAAAGAUAACCAAAACCUACAACCCACAAAUCAUCACGCUCGUAUCGAAGAGUAUUAUCUAACCAGCACCACAAAACACCCCAGACACUACCGGACGCGCCGCCACGCGCCACCACAGGCGGCGGCGAGUGGGCCCCACGCGCCACGACGAAACGUCCGAAUUUGGGCAAACUCAAAACAUCAAAUUUGUAGAUUGAGAAGAGAGGAGCAUCUUUUAUACCUGAGGGUUCAACUAGUUCGGCCGGAAAUCACCGGAAAUGCGUCUGAAAGUUUGGAAUCCACCACCGCCACUCUCCGCGGUGAGUCGCGCUCCAAGGCCACCAGAAGUCGGACCAGGACGCCAAGGAGCUUCUAUCCCGACCGAUCUCUCGCCUUGUCGCCGUCGUCGGAGGUUUGAAACCUGACCGGGUCUCUAACCCGAAAUUCCGAGCUUCGGGUCACCACUUCGGGACCGAAUCGGCGCAAGUCACCACCGCAGGGUAGCUCAGACGGAGGAGAGGAAGAGAACCCGACCGGUGCCAGCGUCUAGGUCAGUCGGAGUGGCCGGAAAAGCCGGGUCGGGUCAUCGGGUCUGGGUCGGGUUGGCUGGAGGACUUUGAAUUCUCUCGGGGUCGGACAGAGAGAAGGAGAGGGAGGAAAAUCUGGUUUCUGAAAAACUGAGGGCCCAAACUGGAAAUUUCCUAUUUAACCUAAAUAUUCCCGAAAAGCCACAACUUUCGCUGACCAUAACUUCCACAUACGAAGUCCGUUUUAUGCGUGUCACGUGUCUACGAACUCGUAUCGUCGUACUCUACAACUUUCGUGAAGGAAGUUUCCCAAGAAACCCAACCGAUUAAAAAGUCAACGCUUAACCCUUCAAAAUAGAGCAUUUUCACGGAACAAAAAAAACUCAACUACUUCCAGUCCACUCACUAAAUCACAAAUCCAUACAACUCUUACUUAAAUAAUUUCCAAAAUAAAAUUAGAAACUAAUAUUAAAAUUCCGGGGUAUUACAGUGAUAGUUACAGAAGUUGCAGUGGGUGUUGAGAGGAACGAUUUGGUGUAUAGUUUGUAGCUAGAAUCGGUGGUCGGCCUUGGAGGCUGACCGCCACUGCCGGCGGCGCGUGAUGCACGUGCGACCUCUUCAGGUGAGUCGAAUUAGCUUGUUAGGUAGGGUUCGUAACAACAAACCCAUCGGUGUAUGAUCUACCAAUUUUGGUGAUCGUAUGACUUAGUCGAAAGUUUCCAAAAUGUGAACAUUGGUUUGUUUAGAUGGUGAACGAGCCGUAUAUCUUGUUUUGGUAGAGAUAGGAGAGCAUUGGGGGUUGUUGGGAAUUUUCGGAAAAUUUUAUAGUUGUGAUGAUCAUUUUGGGUAGAUUCUAUUCAACGUGGAAUCGAUAGUUUUGGAUUUUUAGCUUAGGUUAUAAGAAAUGCCUUAGAUAAAUUUAGUUUUGGUUAGACUCUAUAGUAUGGUAUGAUUAAUGGUGGAGAUAUCUUGUUGGGUGAGUGGACACUUUGUUUUGUUAAAAGAAUAUGCAUGCAUGAUCUCUUUUGGAAAUUAUCGUUCUAAUUUCCGAGCUUAUAUUAUAAUUUCAGUUUAUAAUAUGGUUUUGAGAUUUAUUUGAGUUUGAGGGAUUGAUUAAGUGAUGAUCAUGAUUUAAGGAUUUAAGCUUGGGUUGUUAAUUUGGUAUUUGAGUGUUGAUAUUAUUUAUGAUUUCUGGAUUUAAUUAUUAUCGUUUCUAUUUGUGGAAUUUGAGAUAUGUAAAAGAUUACCGAAAAUGGGAUUUUCGGUAAUUCUCUAUUUAUAAUUUUCUCAUUUAUUUAUGGGAUAUCGAUCUUGACCUUCAGAAUAUUUUAGCGAGUAUUUUGGAUUAAGAAAUUAUUUACAAUUUAUACUGGAUAAUUAUAUCUCGCUUAUAAUUAUGGACUUGAGAAUAUUUUUGACGUAUGAGACACGUCAUUGAGUUUUUUUUUUUAAUUUUUUUAUGAUAAUUUUCAAGUACGGUUAGGAACCGUACCAUUCGCAUGAUCUUGAGGAAUCUUUAUGGAUUUAAGUGAUUUCGUAUGUUGUUAGUCACCAUACUAGGGUCGCUAUUAUUCAUUACUAGCUAACCUUAUUAGCAGUCCUCACCAUAGGUGAGUCGAGCGCUUAGCGUGGGACGCUACUAUAGCCUUGGGAGGCACCGAUCAAAUAUUAUUAUUUAUUGCUAGCUAGCCUUAUUAGCGGUCCUCACCAUAGGUGAGUCGAGCGCUUAGCGUGAGACGCUACUAUAGCUUGGGAGGCCCUGAUCGGUUUUUAUUCAUUGCUAGCUAGCCAUUAUUAGUGGUCCUCACCAUAGGUGAGUUGAGCGCUUAGUGUGGGACGUUACUAGAGCCUGGGAGGCUCAUCUUUAUGGUGAAACAUUUUCCCUUUUUCAUGAUUGCUACAAACCAAUGGGAUUAGUUCAUCACUUCUAUUUUUAGAAGCAUUAUUGGUUGAGCUUGAUUGUUGAAUUGUGAUUUGAGAUAUAUAUUGAUCGAGCAUACUAAUUAUGAAAUGUGGAAUUGUUGAGUAAUUUGGUUCAGUAGAGUUGUUGAUGUAAAUAUAAUAACUUGACCCCUGUCGUUGAUAUAGUGGGUUGGUGGGUGGUUGUGGAUAUGAAGAGCUAACAGCCCCAGGGGUUGAGUUGAUAUGUUUAACCUAUUAUGUACACGGUAGAUUUUAUAAGUUAUAAAUUAUGGCUACAGGUGUUGAGGAUGUAGAUCGUUGAUAUACUAGUGUUUUUAUGAGUUUCUUUGCAGGUCAAGUUCUACUGAAUUUUCGGUAGAAUUUCCUUUUAGAGGUGGUCCCCGCAAGACCUUCUCGGGUUUCGGGAUGAAAUUCAGGACGAGUCUUGUCACUUUAAAGGUAGACAUUUCUAAUGAACAUAGUAGAUGUGUCUUAUGUUAAAUGUCGACUUUGCAACUUUUAUCUUCGGUUGAUUUAAUCUCAAGAACAAUUUUGAUUUCCAUAAAGUCUACUUUUGUUUUAUUUGGCUUAUCUUAAUGGUAGACAUUUCUAAUGAAAAUAGUAAUUGUGUCUUAUGUUAAAUGUAGACUUUGCAACUUUUACCUUCGGUUGAUUCAAUCUCAAGAACAAUUUUGAUUUCCAAGAAGUCUACUUUUCUGUGAUUUACCUCAGGUAAAUGAGAGACAUUUCUCAUAAAAACAGUAGUCCUAUCUCAUGUUAGUAGUAGACUUGAUAAUCUAAAUGGUAGACAAUUCUUAUCAAAAC
RNAcentral lists this long non-coding RNA (3412 nucleotides) under Fragaria vesca (wild strawberry). Its description in RNAcentral is "long non-coding RNA (FVES_LNC005572)". Lineage: Eukaryota; Viridiplantae; Streptophyta; Magnoliopsida; Rosales; Rosaceae. The record is from RNAcentral.